CUACGGAGGGGGUUAGCGUUGUUCGGAAUUACUGGGCGUAAAGCGCACGUAGGCGGAUUGGAAAGUUGGGGGUGUAAUCCCAGGGCUCAACCCUGGAACUGCCUCCAAAACUAACAGUCUAGAGUUCGAGAGAGGUGAGUGGAAUUCCAAGUGUAGAGGUGAAAUUCGUAGAUAUUUGGAGGAACACCAGUGGCGAAGGCGGCUCACUGGCUCGAUACUGACGCUGAGGUGCGAAAGCGUGGGGAGCAAACAGGAUUAGAAACCCCAGUAGUCC
RNAcentral lists this ribosomal RNA (274 nucleotides) under uncultured bacterium. RNAcentral's name for it is "partial 16S ribosomal RNA". It matches the Rfam family "Bacterial small subunit ribosomal RNA", at positions 523 to 796 of the family's 1533-position model. The record is from RNAcentral.